GGGAAGGUGGCUCAGUGGUAGAGCACUUGCCUUGCAUGCAUGAGGCCCUGGGUUCAAUUCCUCACCUCA
RNAcentral lists this transfer RNA (69 nucleotides) under Dipodomys ordii (Ord's kangaroo rat). It matches the Rfam family "tRNA". Rfam says of the family: Transfer RNA (tRNA) molecules are approximately 80 nucleotides in length. Lineage: Eukaryota; Metazoa; Chordata; Mammalia; Rodentia; Heteromyidae. The record is from Rfam by way of RNAcentral.